Molecule: long non-coding RNA, 1271 nt
Filed under: Salmo salar (Atlantic salmon)
Lineage: Eukaryota; Metazoa; Chordata; Actinopteri; Salmoniformes; Salmonidae
Description: lncRNA (ENSSSAG00000106750.1)
Source: RNAcentral
UGUCUUUGGUAAGGAGAGUAAUUUAAAAUGGUGAGGAUGAGCACAAUCUAAAAUGAGGUGAGUAAUCUACGAUGGUGAGGAGGAGAGAAAUGUACGACGGUGAGGAGGAGGAGAGUAAUCUAAAAUGGUGAGGAGGAGAGUAAUCUAAGAUGGUGAGGAGGAGAGUAAUCUAAGACUGUGACGAUGAUGAGAAUAAUCUAAGAUUGUGAGGUGAAGUAGAACAAUCUAAGAUUGUGAGGAGGAUGAGAGUCAUCUAACAUUGUGAUGACGAUGAGAAAAAUCUAAGAUUGUGAGGAGGCUGAGAAUAAUCUAAGAUUGUGAGGAGGCUGAGAAUAAUCUAAGAUUGUGAUGACGAUGAGAAUAAUCUAAGAUUGUGAGGAGGAGGGGAGUAAUCUAAAAUGGUGAUGAGAAGGGUAAUAUGGAGAUGAGGAGAGUAAUAUGGUGAUGAGGAGAGUAAUAUGUUGAUGAGGAGACUAAUAUGGAGGUGAGGAGAGCAAUAUGGCGGUGAGGAGAGUAAUAUGGUGAUGAGGAGACUAAUAUGGAGAUGAGGAGAGUAAUAUGGUGAUGAGGAGAGUAAUAUGGAGACGAGGAGAGUAAUAUGGAGAUGAGGAGAGUAAUAUGGAGAUGAGGAGAGUAAUAUGGCGAUGAGGAGAGUAAUAUGGAGAUGAGGAGAGUAAUAUGGAGAUGAGGAGAGCAAUAUGGAGAUGAGGAGAGCAAUAUGGAGAUGAGGAGAGUAAUAUGGAGAUGAGGAGAGUAAUAUGGAGAUGAGGAGAGCAAUAUGGAGAUGAGGAGAGCAAUAUGGCGGUGAGGAGAGCAAUAUGGAGAUGAGGAGAGUAAUAUGGAGAUGAGGAGAGUAAUAUGGAGAUGAGGAGAGUAAUAUGGAGAUGAGGAGAGUAAUAUGGAGAUGAGGAGAGUAAUAUGGAGAUGAGGAGAGCAAUAUGGAGAUGAGGAGAGCAAUAUGGCGGUGAGGAGAGUAAUAUGGUGAUGAGGAGAGUAAUAUGGAGAUGAGGAGAGUAAUAAAGAGAAUAGGAGAGCAAUAUGGUGGUGAGGAGAGCAAUAUGGAGAUGAGGAGAGUAAUAUGGAGAUGAGGAGAGUAAUAUGGCGAUGAGGAGAGUAAUAUGGAGAUGAGGAGAGUAAUCUAAGUAAUCCAAUAGGAGGCCAGAUGCAGGUUCAGAUGCAGAUUCUUAAAGUAACUUAAAGCAGCCGGCCUGGUAAAUUUCUAUGUUCAAAGAAACGUCUCAGAGGAGUUACUGCAUGUUGAAAGGUGAGAU